UACGGAGGGAGCUAGCGUUGUUCGGAAUUACUGGGCGUAAAGCGCACGUAGGCGGCUUUGUAAGUCAGGGGUGAAAGCCUGGAGCUCAACUCCAGAACUGCCUUUGAGACUGCAUCGCUUGAAUCCGGGAGAGGUGAGUGGAAUUCCGAGUGUAGAGGUGAAAUUCGUAGAUAUUCGGAAGAACACCAGUGGCGAAGGCGGCUCACUGGACCGGUAUUGACGCUGAGGUGCGAAAGCGUGGGGAGCAAACAGG
RNAcentral lists this ribosomal RNA (253 nucleotides) under uncultured bacterium. RNAcentral describes it as "partial 16S ribosomal RNA". It matches the Rfam family "Bacterial small subunit ribosomal RNA", at positions 524 to 776 of the family's 1533-position model. The record is from RNAcentral.